CGUGUAGGCGGCUUGGCAAGUCGGAUGUGAAAGCCCCGGGCUCAACCUGGGAAUUGCAUUCGAAACUGGAUAGCUAGAGUUUGGUAGAGGUAAGUGGAAUUCCGGGUGUAGCGGUGAAAUGCGUAGAUAUCCGGAGGAACAUCAGUGGCGAAGGCGGCUUACUGGACCAGAACUGACGCUGAGGCUCGAAAGCGUGGGGAGCAAACAGGAUUAGAUACCCUGGUAGUCC
This 229-nucleotide ribosomal RNA is filed under the name uncultured bacterium. Its description in RNAcentral is "partial 16S ribosomal RNA". It matches the Rfam family "Bacterial small subunit ribosomal RNA", at positions 568 to 796 of the family's 1533-position model. The record is from RNAcentral.